AAUAUACGGUGUCUCAGCCCCAGAGGUGUGUGGUCUUCUCCAGUGUCUCAGCCCCAGAGGUGUGUGGUCUUCCCCAGUGUCUCAGACCCAGAGGUGUGUUGUCUUCUCCAGUGUCUCAGCCCCAGAGGUGUGUGGUCUUCUCCAGUGUCUCAGCCCCAGAGGUGUGUGGUCUUCUCCAGUGUCUCAGCCCCAGAGGUGUGUGGUCUUCUCCAGUGUCUCAGCCCCAGAGGUGUGGUGUCUUCUCCAGUGUCUCAGCCCCAGAGGUGUGUGGUCUUCUCCAGUGUCUCAGCCCCAGAGGUGUGUGGUCUUCUCCAGUGUCUCAGCCCCAGAGGUGUGUGGUCUUCUCCAGUGUGUGUUGAAAGCUUGUAAAUAGUAACUGCUGAAACGUGGAAUAGUGUCCCGUAUCACUUGUGACCUUAGAUGGGAAUAUUCCAAAAUAAUAAAUAAAAAUAAAUAAAUAAAAAAUAUGACUAAACAAAAAUAUGUGUCUGUGUCAAAGUGAGACGGACGUUACAGGACGAAGAAGAGAGUGAAGAGGAAGACGAGUUUGAAGAUGGUGGUGUAGGAGAGUGAAGAGAACAGGACGAGGAUGAGGAUGAGCAGGAUGAUGGGCUGAAACAUCUAGGUGGGAUUAAUAAGGACGGCAAAGGAGGACGAGUCAGGACGAGGACGAGUCAGGAGGCGA
Molecule: long non-coding RNA, 685 nt
Organism: Oncorhynchus keta (chum salmon)
Lineage: Eukaryota; Metazoa; Chordata; Actinopteri; Salmoniformes; Salmonidae
Exons: 5
Source: RefSeq, a predicted model, not a curated record